GGGGGGGGUGAUCGGAUACUGGGCGUAAGAGCGCGUAGGUGGUUCGAUCAGUCGGAGGUGAAAGCCCUCGGCUCAACCGAGGAUCCGCGUCCGAUACUGUCGAACUUGAGUGCAGGAGAGGAGAGCGGAAUUCCCAGUGUAGCGGUGAAAUGCGUAGAUAUUGGGAGGAACACCGGUGGCGAAGGCGGCUCUCUGGACUGCCACUGACACUGAGGCGCGAAAGCUAGGGGAGCAAACGGGAUUAGAUACCCCGGUAGUCCUAGCCGUAAACGAUGGGCACUAGGUGUGGGAGGUAUCGACCCCUUCCGUGCCGCAGCUAACGCAUUAAGUGCCCCGCCUGGGGAGUACGGCCGCAAGGUUGAAACUCAAAGGAAUUGACGGGGGCCCGCACAAGCAGCGGAGCAUGUGGUUUAAUUCGAAGCAACGCGAAGAACCUUACCUAGACUUGACAUCUCCUGAAUAGCCGGUAACUCGGCGAAGCCCUUCGGGGCAGGAAGACAGGUGGUGCAUGGUUGUCGUCAGCUCGUGUCGUGAGAUGUUGGGUUAAGUCCCGCAACGAGCGCAACCCUUAUUAUUAGUUGCUACCAUUUAGUUGGGCACUCUAAUGAGACUGCCGUGGUUAACGCGGAGGAAGGUGGGGAUGACGUCAAAUCAUCAUGCCCCUUAUGUCUAGGGCUACACACGUGCUACAAUGGUGAGUACAAAGAGACGCAAGACCGUGAGGUGGAGCAAAACUCAAAAACUCAUCCCAGUUCGGAUUGUAGGCUGAAACUCGCCUACAUGAAGCCGGAGUUGCUAGUAAUCGCGAAUCAGCAUGUCGCGGUGAAUACGUUCCCGGGCCUUGUACACACCGCCCGUCACACCAUGAGAGUCUGCAACACCCGAAGUCCGUGAGGUAACCCGUAAAGGAGCCAGCGGCCGAAAGUGGGGCCGAUGAUUGGGGUGAAGUCGUAACAAGGUAACC
This 964-nucleotide ribosomal RNA is filed under the name uncultured bacterium. RNAcentral's name for it is "bacterial SSU rRNA". It matches the Rfam family "Bacterial small subunit ribosomal RNA", at positions 534 to 1501 of the family's 1533-position model. The record is from RNAcentral.